Molecule: ribosomal RNA, 289 nt
Filed under: uncultured Endozoicomonas sp.
Lineage: Bacteria; Pseudomonadati; Pseudomonadota; Gammaproteobacteria; Oceanospirillales; Endozoicomonadaceae
Description: partial 16S ribosomal RNA
Rfam family: Bacterial small subunit ribosomal RNA
Source: RNAcentral
CGAGCGCACCCUUGUCCUCAGUUACCAGCACGUUAUGGUGGGCACUCUGGGGAGACUGCCGGUGACAAACCGGAGGAAGGUGGGGACGACGUCAAGUCAUCAUGGCCCUUACGGCCAGGGCUACACACGUGCUACAAUGGUGCAUACAGACGGUUGCCAAGCCGCGAGGUGGAGCUAAUCUGAGAAAGUGCAUCGUAGUCCGGAUUGGAGUCUGCAACUCGACUCCAUGAAGUCGGAAUCGCUAGUAAUCGUGAAUCAGAAUGUCACGGUGAAUACGUUCCCGGGCCUU